This is a non-coding RNA of Cherax quadricarinatus, 353 nucleotides long. Lineage: Eukaryota; Metazoa; Arthropoda; Malacostraca; Decapoda; Parastacidae. The record is from RefSeq and is a predicted model, not a curated record.
GGUUCAUGCAGCCCUUCAACCCACCACGACUGUAUCCAGUCCUGGACUGCCACCACAACACAACAACAUCAUCAUGUGUGGAUAAAGUACAGUAAUGUUGGCAGCAAGGGCUUGACAAUUUUGUAAGAUGCGUGGACUAGGCAAGUGGUGGCAGAAAUGGGUCCUGGAUGUAGUUCUGACACAUCCUCCUCCACUGGUAGCUGUAGUAUUAGCCGUCUUCUUUUCAGUCUUUGCCAUUGGCUUCUGGUGUGCUCAUUGGCUGGAUGAAGUUGAUCUUGCUGUUUAUAGAUCGGUAAAUGUUUUCGCUGACAACAUAAGAAAUGAAAAUCUUUUAACAAAGUAAGUUAUUAUUU